GGAAGCCAGUGCUGUUAAUGAAGAACACAGAGAAACCACAACAGAGAGUGAGAAUGAUCCCACUGCACAAGGGGAGACUGCAGCACAUGCUGAUGGAAUCCAAGCCAGCUCACAGACAUGUAAAGAGGGCGACGCAGGACUGACAGGGCAGCCUGCAGCUGCCAAGGCCAGACCUGAAACACGUCCCACUUCCCCAAAGGCUCAGUUGGAAGCCAGUGCUGUUAAUGAAGAACACAGAGAAACCGUGACAGAGAGUAAGAAUGAUCCCACUGCACAAGGGGAGACUGCAGCAUAUGGU
This is a long non-coding RNA of Brienomyrus brachyistius, 298 nucleotides long. RefSeq lists it as uncharacterized. Lineage: Eukaryota; Metazoa; Chordata; Actinopteri; Osteoglossiformes; Mormyridae. The transcript is spliced from 3 exons. The record is from RefSeq and is a predicted model, not a curated record.